This 66-nucleotide transfer RNA is filed under the name Hemichloridia euprepia. Its description in RNAcentral is "tRNA-Arg". Lineage: Eukaryota; Metazoa; Arthropoda; Insecta; Lepidoptera; Erebidae. The record is from RNAcentral.
AAGUGAGAAGCAAUUUUGCAUUUAAUUUCGACUUAAAAGAAGGGUGAAUAAAUCACUCCUUACUUA